Molecule: long non-coding RNA, 415 nt
Organism: Trematomus bernacchii (emerald rockcod)
Lineage: Eukaryota; Metazoa; Chordata; Actinopteri; Perciformes; Nototheniidae
Exons: 3
Source: RefSeq, a predicted model, not a curated record
UGAAGACCUCUACCUUGAUAACAGCUUUAAGUCUCUGCAGCUUCUUUUCAGGCUCGACUUCUGUCCCGGUUUCUGUGUAGGUCCAGCCUGGUGAAAAUGCCACAUUGACGUGCGCCAACAUUUCCAAAUAUGACACCAUGACAUACUGGUUCAGACUGGUGAACAGAACUGAGGUCAGCUGUGUUGCCGUGUUGAUCAAUUCUUACAGCAAGGUUUUCUACUGUGAUGGAGUUCAAAAAUCUAAAUUUGAGAUGACAUCCAACACCUCCAACCUCUUUCUCGAAAUCAAACAAGUGGAUGUAUCUGACUCUGGACUUUACUUCUGUGGGUUUUACAUAGCUGGGAUUCCAUAUUUCAGCACGGCACGUUUGAGCAUUACAGGGCCUUUGUGCAGGUGUGUUGCAGGUCUUACGAU